This 253-nucleotide ribosomal RNA is filed under the name uncultured bacterium. RNAcentral's name for it is "partial 16S ribosomal RNA". It matches the Rfam family "Bacterial small subunit ribosomal RNA", at positions 524 to 776 of the family's 1533-position model. The record is from RNAcentral.
UACGAAGGGGGCUAGCGUUGCUCGGAAUCACUGGGCGUAAAGCGCACGUAGGCGGCUUUUUAAGUCAGGGGUGAAAUCCUGGAGCUCAACUCCAGAACUGCCUUUGAUACUGAGAAGCUUGAGUCCGGAAGAGGCGAGUGGAAUUCCUGGUGUAGCGGUGAAAUGCGCAGAUAUCAGGAGGAACACCAAUGGCGAAGGCAGCUCGCUGGGACGGUACUGACGCUGAGACGCGAAAGCGUGGGGAGCGAACAGG